AGGCAGCACUAAGAUCUAGUAAAACAAGUACAGAGACAAGUACUUUGUCUGCAUCAGUUAGAAGGUUGUUAGUAAUUUUCACCAGUGCCUUCUCUGUACUAUGAUUCAUUCUAAAUCCUGACUGAAAAUCCUCAAAUAAACUAUUGCUGUGUAGGAAAUCACAUAAGUGAUUAGCAACUACCUUCUCAAGGAUCUUGUCUCUCUGUGAUC
Long non-coding RNA from Etheostoma spectabile (orangethroat darter), 210 nucleotides. RefSeq lists it as uncharacterized. Lineage: Eukaryota; Metazoa; Chordata; Actinopteri; Perciformes; Percidae. The record is from RefSeq and is a predicted model, not a curated record. The transcript is spliced from 3 exons.